AUGGAGGCUACGACCAUCAGCAUUGGCAAGUCCGUGUUGAGCGGGGCUCUCAACUACGCCCAAUCCGCUGUUGCCGAGGAGGUGGCUCUGCAGCUUGGUGUCCAGCGUGACCACUGCUUCAUUUCGGACGAGCUUGAGAUGAUGCAGUCAUUCCUGAUGGCUGCGCACGACGAGCGAGAUGACAAUAAGGUGGUCAGGACUUGGGUGAAACAAGUCCGCGAUGUGUCCUACGCCGUCGAGGACUGUCUCCAUGAUUGUGCCGUUCGUCUUCAGAAGCAGUCUUGGUGGCGCAUCCCUCGCAAGCUGCUAGACCGGCGUUGUGUGGCGAAGCAGAUGAAGGAGCUUAGAAUCAAGGUGGAGGAUGUCAGCCAGAGGAACCAACGGUACCACCUCAUCAAGGGUUCUAGCUCCAAGCCUACCUCCAUUGUUGGGCAGCCUACCAUCUCCAGCGCAACGAUGUCGGCUGCCGAUGAUGCAAGGCUACUGCGGCAGAAAGCAAAAAUGGAUCUCGUCAAGUUGAUCAAUUGCAAGGAUGAUGCACUUCGAGUGAUAGCGUUGUGGGGCACAAGUAGCAGUGAUCUUGGGGAGAUAUCCAUCAUUCGAAGUGCCUAUGAAGAUCCCAUGAUACACAAGAAUUUUGAUUGCUGUGCUUGGAUCACAUUGAUGUGCCCUUUCAAUCAGACAGAUUUCAUUCGAAGCAUCAUUAGGCAAAUUUAUGUUAAUUCUCUUCAAGAAACAGGAAAAGAAGGAAAAUCAGCUAUUGGGGCCCAAGUUUUGAGGAUGAUGGCAACGAUGAAAGAAGAUGGUUUGGCUCAUGAGUUCGAGAGAUAUUUGAAUUUCAAGAGUUACCUAAUUGUACUUAAUGGCAUACGCACCAUCGAAGAGUGGGAUUGCAUUAAAACAUGUUUCCCAAACAACAAGGAAGGAAGUCGAAUCAUAGUAUCCACUGAGAAUGUUGAAGUUGCAAGCUUAUGCAUAGGAGCAGAGGAUGAAGCUCUGGAGCAUAAGAAGUUAUUUGUUGAUCGAUCUCUUUAUGCUUUCUACAGUAAGGUUUCUCAGGAGGGAAGGAAUUCGGAGGAAAAAGGGUCCACCUCAUAUGUAACCCCUAGCGUUGUUAACAGCUCUGCACACAAGAACAUCCUCACUCGUAUGGAGACAAUGGCUACUCUAGAGGAAUCUCGCCUCAUCGGGAGAGGGAAUGAAAAAGAGGAAAUCAUCAAACUAAUCUCAAAUAAAGAUCCCCAGCAAUUUCAUGUGUUCUCCUUGUGGGGAAUGGGUGGUAUUGGAAAAACAACACUAGUGAGGGAUAUCUAUCAAAGCCAAGAGAUUAGUAGCAUGUUUGAUAAGCGUGCUUGUGUCACAGUCAUGCGUCCUUUCAAUCCAGCAACACUCCUUGGGAGCUUAGCUAUGCAAUUCGGAGGUAAAAAUGGGACAGAUUUAAGGACAUGUUUAGAAGGAAAGAGAUAUUUGCUUGUUCUUGAUGAUCUGUGGUCCUUAUUAGAGUUGGGUGCUAUAAAACAAUAUUUGCCAGAAACGGCAGCAAGCUGCAUUAUAGUCACCACAAGGGAAGAGAAUAUUGCGAAGCACUGCUCCAAGGAUGAAAGAAAUAUAUACCCUCUUCACCAUCUGGGUCUUGUUGAUGCAUGUACCCUCUUCAACAAAAAGGUAUUUAAGGAGACCGUAAAUUUGGAUGAGCAAUAUCCAGAGUUGGUUGAAGAAGCAAAACUGAUAUUGAAGAAGUGCAGAGGACUUCCCCUUGCACUAGUCACCAUAGGUGGCUUCUUGGCAAGCCAACCAAAAACUGCUUUUGAGUGGAGAAAAUUGAAUGAGCAUAUUACUGCUGAAUUGGAGAUGAAUCCAGAACUUGAGAUCAUAAAAGCAGUCCUUAUGAAAAGCUAUGAUGGUUUACCCUAUCACCUCAAGGCCUGUUUCUUGUAUCUGGCUAUCUUUCCUGAAGACUACAUGAUUGCACGGAGACGCUUAGUGCGUCGGUGGAUUGCAGAGGGUUACUCAAGUGAGGUGCGUGGCAAGUCUGUGGAGGAAGUAUUGGACUCUUACUUCAUGGAACUCAUAGGCAGAAGCAUGAUUCUGCCGUCUCAACAGUCAAUUCAUAGUAGGAAAGGAAUUGACUCUUGCCAUGUCCAUGAUCUCAUUCGUGAAAUUGCCAUCUCAAAGUCUAUGGAGGAGAAUCUUGUUUUCACAUUGGAGGAAGGGUGCAGCUUAAAUAACCAAGGCACAGUGCGUCAUCUUGUUGUAAGCAACAAUUGGAAGGGGGAUCAAAGCGAGUUUGAGAAUAUAGUAGACUUGUCCCAUGUACGAUCGUUGACAGUGUUUGGAAAUUGGAGGCCAUUUUAUAUUUCGGAUAAGAUGAGGUUACUACGAGUGCUGGAUUUGGAAGGCAAUUGGGAUCUAUUUAAUCAUCACCUUCAGCACAUUGGGAAGCUUCUACACCUUAGAUAUCUUUCUCUAAGGGGACAUGCUGAUGUAUUUCACCUACCAAAUUCGCUGGGGAACCUGAAACAACUCCAGACAUUAGAUAUUUCAGGUACAAGCAUAGUAAAGCUACCAAGGACCAUCAUCAAGCUUGUGAAGAUGCAACGCAUUCUUGCUGGCAGCAUAGGAGAGAGAAAUAGCAAUAUAUUUGAUGGUGCAGAUGAGCAGUCACUAAUGAGUUUGCCUUUAUAUUCAGCAUUGUGUUGUAUGGCAUGUUGUGCACCUAAAUUUCUGGCAGACGGUCUUGAACUUGACAAUGAAGCUCAACUUAGCAGGCGUGAUGUAUGCACUGCGUUCUGUUGCAGCAUAUUACCUUAUUAUGCGGCAGGAGGACGAAAUCCAGGUGGUGUUGAAAUGCCAAGAGGGAUUUGGAAACUGAAGGCGCUGCACACACUUCAUACUGUGGACAUAUCAGUGGGGAAGACUGUUCUACAAGAUAUAAAAAGGUUAACCCGGUUACACAAGUUAGGACUGACAGGCAUCAACAAGAGAAAUGCUCGAGAGUUGUGUUCAGCACUUGCUUGUCUCAGCAGCGUGGAGUCAUUGUCAUUGCGGUCACGCGGAAACACAGGUUUAUUCGGCUGCUUGGAUGGCCUGUCCUCACCUCCAGAAAACCUGCAGAGCCUCAAGUUGAGAGGCAACCUGGCUAAACUGCCAGAGUGGAUCCAAGGACUCAAAAAUCUUGUGAAGCUGAAGCUAGAGGGGUCGAGAAUAUGGGAGCAUGAUGUGGCCAUACAAGUCCUUGGGAAUCUACCUAACCUUUCCACCAUACGUCUAUUGAAGGGCUCGUUCGUUGGUGAAGAAGUCCGUUUCAAUUUCCAUUGGGAGGCAUUCCUGAGCCUGAAGGUGCUGCAGCUGCAUUCUAUAGAAAACCUCAAGUCGGUGUGGUUUGAAGGACGAGCAUCCCCUAAGCUUGAGUUGCUGCAGUAUUCUGAUGAGGAUAUACCCAAAGUUGGGUUGUUCUGUGGGUUGUCAUAUCUCCUAAGCCUCAAGGAAUUUAUGCUGCAUAGGUCGGACUGGCAUAAGAGCGAGUUUGUGGAGGACCUGCGCUGCCAGCUCACAGAGAAUAUUAAUGGACCCAUUUUGAAGAGUUGGCAGUAG
RNAcentral lists this ribosomal RNA (3594 nucleotides) under Triticum aestivum (bread wheat). Its description in RNAcentral is "partial small subunit ribosomal RNA". Lineage: Eukaryota; Viridiplantae; Streptophyta; Magnoliopsida; Poales; Poaceae. The record is from RNAcentral.